UACGUAGGGGGCAAGCGUUGUCCGGAUUUAUUGGGCGUAAAGAGCGUGUAGGCGGCCAGGUAGGUCAGCUGUGAAAACUCGAGGCUCAACCUCGAGACGUCGGUUGAAACCGUCUGGCUAGAGUCCGGAAGAGGAGAGUGGAAUUCCCGGUGUAGCGGUGAAAUGCGCAGAUAUCGGGAAGAACACCCGUGGCGAAGGCGGCUCUCUGGGACGGUACUGACGCUGAGACGCGAAAGCGUGGGGAGCGAACAGG
Molecule: ribosomal RNA, 253 nt
Filed under: uncultured bacterium
Lineage: Bacteria
Description: partial 16S ribosomal RNA
Rfam family: Bacterial small subunit ribosomal RNA
Source: RNAcentral